AUCGCUUCUCGGCCUUUUGGCUAAGAUCAAG
RNAcentral lists this non-coding RNA (31 nucleotides) under Drosophila yakuba. The record is from RNAcentral. RNAcentral also lists the same sequence under 5 other names. Lineage: Eukaryota; Metazoa; Arthropoda; Insecta; Diptera; Drosophilidae.